CUGUGCUAGUGCUUGACAGUGGCCAUGUAUGUCACAGCAAAACUGCUCACCUCAUGGCUGGAAAACAAAAAAGUAGAAAGAGGAGGGGGCUAGGGCCUCACAAUCUACUUCAAGGACAUGGCCCCGGUAACUGAAGAGCUCCUGUCAGGCACCACCAGUGUCCGUUAGCAUCAAACUGGGAACUGAGCUAUUGCGCAUGGGCCUGUGGUAGAUGUCGCAAAUUCAAGCUACAGCACUCAUCACAUGAUGCUGAGUAAAGCAAGACAGGUAGGAAGGGCCAGGAAGGAGUGUCUCCUUAAGAGCCUCCUCAUGGAAACAUGAAAAGUGGGGACUAAAUGUUCCUCCCUUACAGCAAAAAAGACCGAUGAAUCCCUGGAACCACAAUAUGCAGUGAGCCAAGAGAAUGAUGUAGGGACUUGGCUCUGCAGGGACUAGGAGCAUGUCCACCUCUGAAAUCCUCCGUCCAAGCACCACAGUGAUGUGCCAAAAUUAUGAUGAUGACUUCACACCUCAGCGAAUUCACAUCUGCAAGGAGAGAGAACAAUUUGCAACUGAAUCCAGCCUCACUCAUGCGAUCCCCAAAUUUCUCCUUGGUUAUCAGCCACUCUGGAGACUGCUGGGUAAAUCCAAGUUUUGUCUUAAUAAAUGUACACAUGAUAUGAUAUGAUA
This 669-nucleotide long non-coding RNA is filed under the name Fukomys damarensis (Damara mole-rat). Its description in RNAcentral is "lncRNA (ENSFDAG00000028896.1)". Lineage: Eukaryota; Metazoa; Chordata; Mammalia; Rodentia; Bathyergidae. The record is from RNAcentral.